AUACGGAGGGUGCAAGCGUUGUUCGGAAUUACUGGGCGUAAAGCGCGCGUAGGCGGUUUGUUAAGUCGGAUGUGAAAUCCCCGGGCUCAACCCGGGAACUGCGCUUAUUACUGAUAGACUAGAGAGCGGGAGAGGGUAGUGGAACUCCCAGUGUAGAGGUGAAAUUCGUAGAUAUUGGGAAGAACACCAGUGGCGAAAGCGACUUUCUGGCUAUUUUCUGACGCUGAGGAGCGAAAGCGUGGGGAGCAAACAGGAUUAGAAACCCCAGUAGUCC
This 274-nucleotide ribosomal RNA is filed under the name uncultured bacterium. RNAcentral's name for it is "partial 16S ribosomal RNA". It matches the Rfam family "Bacterial small subunit ribosomal RNA", at positions 523 to 796 of the family's 1533-position model. The record is from RNAcentral.